GGAAGAAGAUGGGGUGCCCCCGCCCCAGGGAAUGGCCUUCAGCUGGACCCAUCCCCGCCUAGGCACUUCCCCAGAAAGGCCACUGGUCCAGCAGCUGAUUCCCAAGAAACCAAAUAUCUAACAGAGGGGACUGUGGGGACUUGAUGGCCUCUGACCUGGUCCCUCCUGCUCCCCUUUGGGCACUCUCUCAGGAAAGCUGAGAAGUUUGGGGCAGGGGUUACCAACUAAUCAGCCUCCCCUCCCCACUGAGGAGCUCCCUGUGUGGCGGUUGUGGGACAGGGAAGGAUGGGGCCACUGCUCAGGCCCCAGGGAGCCUCGGACCCAGCAUGGGGCUGGACUCGGUGGUCUGAAUGCCCUUUCUGCUCGGGCAGCCCAGGUCUCUGGUAGUGCCGAUAACCACCUGCUCUUGGCUCAGGAGACCCCUCCCUGGCAGCCCCCCAGCCCUUGAGGGCAGCUGGGGGGCCUGAAGAAGGCCUCCGUACCUGUAGAUGGCAGAGCUGGGGUAGCUGCCCGGGUCACAGCUGACACGCACAUGGCCCUGGUAGAGCUCCACCGCGAUGUGGUCGCUGUCCCCAUUGUACAGCAGGAUCCCAUUGUCCUCUGCUGUGGAGACCUAUGGCAACGGCACUUUCUCUCCCACCCCACCCCACGCAGCAGCAGCACAGGCUGGCGGGCGGGGCAGACGGAGGACCCACAAUUAAAAGAGAAAUGUGUGCAGAACAGUCCUCCCCUGCCUCCCCAAGGGAAACAUCCUCCAGGGGGCGCUGUCCCAGGCUGGCAGCCCCACCCCACCCCACCCCCACCCCCCUCCCCCUCAAAUUCCAUCCACAGCCGGUCUGGCCAGGGCCAGGCAGGGGAGGGCAGAUGGGCCAGCUGAGGCCUGGAAACUCCGUGCCAGGAGGUAAGACAGCUUGGGACCACCUGCCCAGAGAGGAUGGUUAGACAGGAUGUGGGGUAUCCUGUUCUGUGGGCCUCAGGGAGCUGCCUUGGGGCCAGGACGGGACCUACAGAGGACAGAUUCAGGAAGACUCUCCAACAGCCAGAGCCACCCAAACCUGGAAGGUAGCACCUGUCACUGGAGCCACGCGAGCAAAAGCUGGAGCUGUGCCUUGGGAGGGAGAUGCCUCUAUGCUGCUGUAGGAGCCAUGAUCUUUGUUUCCUGCCUUGUUCCUCUCCUGGUAAAGACCCUGACCCCCUGGUCUGUAGAGCUGGGACACGGCCCAGUCUGGACCACGGCACCCCAUCUCCCUGGACUUGGUAGUUGGUCCAGGGAUGGGCAUGUGACCUGAGGCAGGCCAAUCGGAGAUCUCCGAUCCGAGCUUGUUGACUGUUGUCCAACUAGAGCUAUUGGGGAAGAGCCUGCAGUGGGGAUAGUGGAAUAAACUGAGUCUCUCCAAGGAUGUGCCUGAGGCAAUGGCUGGGCAGGGUUUUGGUGAGUUUUAUUCUGUUGAGCAGUUAGGCUAGCUGUGGUCUUGCUGUGUGGACAGUGUAGUGGAUAGAAUUUAUGAGAGGUGAUCAAGGGAAGGAGAGCAGAGUGGGCAUGUUUGAGAGGCUGAAAGGUUCUGAGAGAAAAGAAGGAGAAGAGGACAAAUAAAGGAAAGAAGAAAGAUGUGGCAGUUGGGAUAAGGAAUGGAAUUUGGGGAACAGGGAUGACUAAAGAGGAGUUUAAUUUCUUUUCCUGUGAAGUGCAAUGCAAUCCGCUGUCCCUCCCCAAGAAACAUUUAGCAAACAAUGCUGCUGAAGUAGAACUUGCUUCUUUUUCCCUCAACAUAACAAUGUUCUCAGAUGGAAUUCAAGACAUAAAUGGAAAAUAAGGGCUCCCAGCGCUAGCUGUGGCCGUGUUCCAGCUACAUAGAGAAAGCCAGUCUGCAGCAUUGGAGGCUGAAGCUGGGGGGAGUCUUUGAGACAAGGGAUGGUGGGAGAGGAUCCUGGUAAAUUUGGUUUUCCGGAUCCAGUCACCCAUGAGACCACCUCCACCCCUGCCCUUCCCUGAGACUGGUUUUGUGACCCAAUAACCUUUCCGACUGUGCUUAAACUAGCUCAAGCUGAGAUCCUGAUACCCACAUCCAAAGAGUUUUGAUUAACACAGGGUGCUCCCAGCUGUCCCGAUACUCUGACCUGAGGCCAGGGUCCCCUGCUGCCGGACCACCCUCUGUGACACACACCCUGGGCACGCACCUGCAGUGUGAUGUUGGCCCGUGGCCAGUUCUGCAGGUCGGUGAACUGUAGUACCUCAUCUCCUCCAGGAAGCCUCCGGUGAACACCCCUUGCAGGAAACCCUUCCAGACUACAAACUGCCAACUCCACGGCUCAACCACACAACCUGGCAGGAGGAAGUUACUGGUGCACCCAGUUUGCAGAUGAGAAAACUGAGGCUCAGAGUGGUCAAGCCACCCAUUCUGGGUCAUGAUGUAAACCCAGGUCUGUCCGACUAAAACUACCACCACCCUGCCCCUGACACUGACUGGCAGGAACUGAACAGCCAAGACCAAACCCACCUGACAGGUGAGGAAACAGGCUGGGGAGGGCAGAGGAAAGGUGACGUGGGGGCCCAUGCCCUUCCCUGGCCUUAGAAAUGGGCAACACUGACCUGGGCC
This is a long non-coding RNA of Aethalodelphis obliquidens (Pacific white-sided dolphin), 2597 nucleotides long. RefSeq lists it as uncharacterized. The record is from RefSeq and is a predicted model, not a curated record. The transcript is spliced from 3 exons. NCBI's taxonomy places the organism in Eukaryota, Metazoa, Chordata, Mammalia, Artiodactyla, Delphinidae.